RNAcentral lists this ribosomal RNA (423 nucleotides) under uncultured bacterium. RNAcentral's name for it is "bacterial SSU rRNA". It matches the Rfam family "Bacterial small subunit ribosomal RNA", at positions 355 to 775 of the family's 1533-position model. The record is from RNAcentral.
UAAGGAAUAUUGGUCAAUGGGCGCAAGCCUGAACCAGCCAUGCCGCGUGCAGGAAGACGGCCCUAUGGGUUGUAAACUGCUUUCGUCAGGGAAUAAACCCCCGCUCGUGAGCGGGGCUGAAGGUACCUGAAGAAUAAGCAUCGGCUAACUCCGUGCCAGCAGCCGCGGUAAUACGGAGGAUGCAAGCGUUAUCCGGAUUCGUUGGGUUUAAAGGGUGCGCAGGCGGAUUGGUAAGUCAGGGGUGAAAUCCCACAGCUCAACUGUGGAACUGCCUUUGAUACUGUCAGUCUAGAGUAUAGUUGAAGUGGGCGGAAUGUGUCAUGUAGCGGUGAAAUGCUUAGAUAUGACACAGAACACCGAUCACGAAGGCAGCUCGCUAAGCUAUAACUGACGCUCAUGCACGAAAGCGUGGGGAUCAAACAG